Molecule: long non-coding RNA, 401 nt
Filed under: Rattus norvegicus (Norway rat)
Lineage: Eukaryota; Metazoa; Chordata; Mammalia; Rodentia; Muridae
Description: long non-coding RNA NONRATT016209
Source: RNAcentral
AUAGCGGGGAGAGCAUGCUCAGUGGAAUUGGGGCAUGAAUGACAUCUUGGAGGCCUGAAACAUCUCCUGCAUCAGGAGAAUCUGUAAAGCAUCUGGACUCCUCCUCUCCCCACUUCCAUGGAAUGGUCUUCCACACCCCAUCAGCACUGGACUUGGAUGGGUGACUUAAUUUUGCCAAGAGGAAGUAAGACUAUGUAGAAUAGAUUGCCAGAUACUCUGGCAAUCCAUCACCAGUAACACAUGCCCUUCAUCCUGGACCCAAGAUACCUGCCUAUGCUGCAGUAGUAGGAACUAUGUCUGAAGCUGUCAGGACCUGAAUCAGGGAUGCCUAGUCAAUACCUUGCAAGCCUUUGCCUCUGUCAGUGAACACAGAUAUGAGUAAAUGUAUAUUCUUGGCAGUA